GCUGGGCAUGGUGAUGCAUGCCUGUAAUCCCAGUGGCUUGGGAAGCUGAGGCAGGAGGAUUGCCAGUUCAAACCCAGCCUCAGCAACAGUGAGGAGCUAAGCACUCAGUGAGACCCUGUCUCUA
RNAcentral lists this small RNA (124 nucleotides) under Marmota monax (woodchuck). Lineage: Eukaryota; Metazoa; Chordata; Mammalia; Rodentia; Sciuridae. The record is from RNAcentral.